GUGUUAAUUUUAAUUUACCUGGGUAAUAUUAGUUAAGGUCUUUAAACCCAAAGAAUUUGGCGGUAUUUCAUUCCAUUCAGAGGAACCUAUCUCGUAAUUGAUAGUACACGAUUAACUUUACUUGAUUUAUUUGUUUGUAUAUCUCCGUUAUCAGAAAAUCUUUUUGGAGUUAUAAUUUUCCUGUUUUCUCAUUAGAAAUUAUUUCAGGUCAAGGUGCAGCUUAUAAUCAAGUGUGUGAUGGGUUACAAUAAAUUUUUUUAUUAUGGAUUUAAUUUUGAAAAUUUUUAAUGAAGGUGGAUUUGAUAGUAAUUUAAUUUAUUUAAUUUAAUUGAUAUUGGCUCU
This 342-nucleotide ribosomal RNA is filed under the name Sphingonotus vosseleri. RNAcentral describes it as "partial small subunit ribosomal RNA". The record is from RNAcentral. Lineage: Eukaryota; Metazoa; Arthropoda; Insecta; Orthoptera; Acrididae.